CUGCUGCCUUCCGUAGGAGUCUGGGCCGUGUCUCAGUCCCAAUGUGGCCGUUCACCCUCUCAGGCCGGCUACUGAUCGUUGCCUUGGUGGGCUUUUACCUCACCAACUAGCUAAUCAGACGCGGAACCAUCGUAUACCACCGGAGUUUUUCACACUGCUUCAUGCGAAGCUGUGCGCUUAUGCGGUAUUAGCACCUAUUUCUAAGUGUUAUCCCCCAGUAUACGGCAGGUUUUCCACGCGUUACUCACCCCGUCCG
Molecule: ribosomal RNA, 256 nt
Filed under: uncultured bacterium
Lineage: Bacteria
Description: partial 16S ribosomal RNA
Source: RNAcentral